GAUGAACGCUAGCUACAGGCAUAACACAUGCAAGUCGAGGGGAAACGAUAGAGAAAGCUUGCUUUUUCUAGGCGUCGACCGGCGCACGGGUGAGUAACGCGUAUCCAACCUGCCCAUCACUUGGGGAUAACCUUGCGAAAGUACGACUAAUACCCAAUGACGUCUCUAGAAGACAUCUGAACGAGAUUAAAGAUUUAUCGGUGAUGGAAGGGGAGGCGUCGUAUUAGCUUGUUGGCGGGGUAACGGCCCAACAAGGCGACGAUCAGUAGGGGUUCUGAGAGGAAGGUCCCCCACAUUGGAACUGAGACACGGUCCAAACUCCUACGGGAGGCAGCAGUGAGGAAUAUUGGUCAAUGGACGAGAGUCUGAACCAGCCAAGUAGCGUGCAGGAUGACGGCCCUAUGGGUUGUAAACUGCUUUUAUAAGGGAAUAAAGUGAGUCUCGUGAGACUUUUUGCAUGUACCUUAUGAAUAAGGACCGGCUAAUUCCGUGCCAGCAGCCGCCGUAA
RNAcentral lists this ribosomal RNA (508 nucleotides) under uncultured bacterium. RNAcentral's name for it is "partial 16S ribosomal RNA". It matches the Rfam family "Bacterial small subunit ribosomal RNA", at positions 28 to 523 of the family's 1533-position model. The record is from RNAcentral.